Long non-coding RNA from Cornus florida, 2700 nucleotides. RefSeq lists it as uncharacterized. The record is from RefSeq and is a predicted model, not a curated record. NCBI's taxonomy places the organism in Eukaryota, Viridiplantae, Streptophyta, Magnoliopsida, Cornales, Cornaceae. The transcript is spliced from 4 exons.
GCCUCGCCAAUCGCCUCCAUGUCUAUUCUCGUUUUCAACUCUGAACUUCCCUCCCUCUCUCUCUCUCUCUCUCUCUCUCUCUGUGCAACCGCAAACUACAAAAUCUACAAGAAUCACAAGUUCAAAACCCAUAUAUUUCAGUUUAUCUAUCUGUCUGCAAGAAUCAAAAGUUCAAAGCCUAUUACCUAUAUCAAAACCCAUAUCGGCAUAUCAUUUCAGAUUGUUCAAAAAAUCAAAACCCAGAUCUUUCAGUUUCGAUCGCCCGCUGUUCCAGUUCGGAUUCGCUGUUCGCAAGCUCCAGCGGCUGUCCCGCCGUCUCUCAACUCUCAAGCUUGCUCCCCUCUCUCUCUGCAACUGCUAACUUGGUUAGCAUCGGGCCUUAACAUUUAGCAAGAACAAGGUUCAAGAAACAUGCCUCCUCAGUCAUCAGGUCUCUUUUCUAGAAAGAAGAGAAUUGAUUGGAAUGGGUUGAGUAGGGAAAAAGAAAAGGAGUUGGGUGAUGGCUCAUAUUGUUUUUGAUGAACAUAGAGCUGUUUUUGGUUGCAACUGGGCUCUUGAUCAUUGAAGGGGAACAUUAGACCACCAGUCACUUGUGAAGAAAGAACCUUAAUUAGUUCGAUGACAUUGCACUUAUAGCAGUACCCAUAAAUUCUCCACUUAGGUACUAAGAGAAAUAAACCUUCAAUAACUAUAAUUCUCAUUUCCACUCAGAGAAAUCUAACCUGACAAGUCAAAAGUAUCCUAUUAUUUCCUUCAAAGAUGUCCAAGUACCAACAAUUGAUGUGAAGAUACCUAUUAAGAUGAUACCCAUUUUCUGGGUGCCUCCCUGCAGAUAAGCUUAAGCCUUCCUACUGAAAAGAUUAGUUCAAAAGUGACCAUCUAUAUUACCUUGAUCAAUCCGAUCUCAAAAUAUUCAUUGAUGGUUACACCGAUAGUGCACUUGAUUGAAGGUCUAUUUCACCAUUCUAACAAUAGGAGACUACUUAGCCUAUUGUUCAAGACCUGCUUGGUAAUCAGCACGAUUGUUGUAGCUGUGACUGUUCCCCUUUUUGGAUCUCUCAUGUCACUUGUUGGAGCUUUAGGUGCCAUCAUCUUAAUGGGUAUCUUCACGGCAAUUGUUGGUACUUGGACAUCUUUGAAGGAAAUAAUAAGAUACUUUUGACUUAUCAGGGUAACAUUUCUCUGAGUGGAAUUGAGAAUUGUAGUUAUUGAAGGUUUAUUUCUCUUAGUACCUAAGUGGAGAAUUUAUAGGUACUGCUAUAAGUGCAAUGAUAUAUGUUUAUGUUAGUUUUAUUGUUCAUUCUGUGUAUAUUAAACUCAUGUUUUUAUGUUUCAUCUAAAUGUCAAUAGAUAUAUGUCACUCUGUUAAGUGUUUGUGCAGUGUUACUUUUGGUGAAAAUUGAAAGUGUCUUUUAUCAAUUGGAACUGCAUUUUUUUUAUGGGUAGUGUCUUAAAAGAUUUAUCUUAUUCUGUGCUAUUGUUUUGAGGGGAAGUAAAAAAAAUUAUUUUUGCUGGAAAUGUGUUGUAAAUGGUUUAUAUCUGAUUGGAAAAAUGGGGUUUUAAUCAAGUAGAAUAUUAGGAAAAUGUGAUAUACCCGGUGUUUCAUUACACAACCGGUCCCAAGUCUAGAUAAAGGAGGAGGGUUGUGUUAGGCAGCAUAACAGUUAAAGUAAAACUUUGUCAUGAGUUAUGACUAAUAUGAACAUGAAUCGUAUGACUAGUGGGAAAAAGGCUUUGUUGUUGUUGUUGAUGUUGUUUUCUGUAGUUGUAGGUUCAGCCAAAUCUAAUGGUCAAAAUUCAAUAGACAUGAGAAGGAAAAAUUUUAUAAUAUUCCAAUUUUGCUAUCCAAACUCAAUUUGUUUAAUUGAGUUUAAAAUUGGUGAUUGGAUGAUGAUGCAUGCAGACUUAUAUGUUUUUUUUUUUUUUUUUUAACACCUUUUCUUCUGAUUAAACCAUUUGUGUUGGACAUUUGCUGCGUUAGGCCUUAUAGUAAAAUGGGUAACAGACUCAAUUUAUCUUUCAAGCGAGUGGCUAUUUGUUUCGGCUUGGUGGGUUGGGCACUCUGUUUUUUUUUUUUUUUACUUCGAGCUUGUAUUGGGCUUGCUCCAAAAUAUUUCUCCUUUGAGAUUGUUUGGGCUUGCCCCUUCGCUCUAAGGCCUACUAAUAAUGUACAUACUUUUUUUUCUUUUUUCUUUUUUUGGUAAGUACUAAUAAUGUACAUACUUUAUUCUAUAUUCAGUAUUGCUUAAACUUUUGGAAUAUAUAUAUAUAUAUAUAUAUAUAUAACACACACGUCUAUCCAGUGAAUGGGAUCCAAUGUUGAUCUCAUCACUCCAUACGAGGAAAAAAAACAACAGAAUAUCAGAAUUCAGACGACCAUUUUGGUAGCUGAAGCUCUAGCAAUCACUGUUGAGGGGUUUUGUAAGUGAUGAAUUGAAUCUGACACAGACAUGGUGAAAACUCUUGCAGAGUAGUUGAUAUCCAAGGACUGAAUCGGCAUUUCUCCUAGCAUCAGGUUUAAAUAUUUUGAAUCAGUUAAAUGUGUCUUGUUAUAACUUUUGUAAGAGAAAAUUAUACAUUUAAAGAAUUAUGGAUCAUAAUCUUAGAAAAUAUUUUUACAUUUUUCUUCUUCUCAAAAAUAAUAAUUCAAGAAGAAGGGUUCUUUACAGAAAAUCUAUAACAAAGUGUACAAAAAAAAAA